This 468-nucleotide ribosomal RNA is filed under the name uncultured bacterium. RNAcentral describes it as "partial 16S ribosomal RNA". It matches the Rfam family "Bacterial small subunit ribosomal RNA", at positions 28 to 507 of the family's 1533-position model. The record is from RNAcentral.
GACGAACGCUGGCGGCGUGCUUAACACAUGCAAGUCGAACGGAAAGGCCCUGCUUUUGUGGGGUGCUCGAGUGGCGAACGGGUGAGUAACACGUGAGUAACCUGCCCUUUACUUUGGGAUACCUUCAGGAAACUGGGGCUAAUACCGGAUAGGAGCUCCUUCUGCAUGGUGGGGGUUGGAAAGUUUCGGCGGUUGGGGAUGGACUCGCGGCUUAUCAGCUUGUUGGUGGGGUAGUGGCUUACCAAGGCUUUGACGGGUAGCCGGCCUGAGAGGGUGACCGGCCACAUUGGGACUGAGAUACGGCCCAGACUCAUACGGGAGGAAGCAGUGGGGAAUAGUGCACAAUGGGCGGAAGCCUGAUGCAGCAACGCCGCGUGCGGGAUGACGGCCUUCGGGUUGUAAACCGCUUUCGCCUGUGACGAAGCGUGAGUGACGGUAAUGGGUAAAGAAGCACCGGCUAACUACGUG